Molecule: ribosomal RNA, 492 nt
Filed under: uncultured bacterium
Lineage: Bacteria
Description: partial 16S ribosomal RNA
Rfam family: Bacterial small subunit ribosomal RNA
Source: RNAcentral
AGUGAACGCUGGCGGUAGGCCUAACACAUGCAAGUCGAACGGCAGCACAGUAAGAGCUUGCUCUUACGGGUGGCGAGUGGCGGACGGGUGAGGUAUACAUCGGAAUCUACUUUUUCGUGGGGGAUAACGUAGGGAAACUUCCGCUAAUACCGCAUACGACCUACGGGUGAAAGCAGGGGAUCUUCGGACCUUGCGCGAUUGCAUGAGCCGAUGUCGGAUUAGCUAGUUGGCGGGGUAAAGGCCCACCAAGGCGACGCUCCGUAGCUGGUCUGAGCGGAUGAUCAGCCACACUGGAACUGAGACACGGUCCAGACUCCUACGGGAGGCAGCAGUGGGGAAUAUUGGACAAUGGGCGCAAGCCUGAUCCAGCCAUACCGCGUGGGUGAAGAAGGCCUUCGGGUUGUAAAGCCCUUUUGUUGGGAAAGAAAAGCAGCAGGUUAAUACCCCGCUGUUCUGACGGUACCCGAAGAAUAAGCACCGGCUAACUUCGUG